Molecule: ribosomal RNA, 560 nt
Filed under: Salmonella enterica subsp. enterica serovar Infantis
Lineage: Bacteria; Pseudomonadati; Pseudomonadota; Gammaproteobacteria; Enterobacterales; Enterobacteriaceae
Also listed under: 2 other names
Description: partial 23S ribosomal RNA
Rfam family: Bacterial large subunit ribosomal RNA
Source: RNAcentral
AGACCCGAAACCCGGUGAUCUAGCCAUGGGCAGGUUGAAGGUUGGGUAACACUAACUGGAGGACCGAACCGACUAAUGUUGAAAAAUUAGCGGAUGACCUGUGGCUGGGGGUGAAAGGCCAAUCAAACCGGGAGAUAGCUGGUUCUCCCCGAAAGCUAUUUAGGUAGCGCCUCGUGAAUUCAUCUCCGGGGGUAGAGCACUGUUUCGGCUAGGGGGCCAUCCCGGCUUACCAACCCGAUGCAAACUGCGAAUACCGGAGAAUGUUAUCACGGGAGACACACGGCGGGUGCUAACGUCCGUCGUGAAGAGGGAAACAACCCAGACCGCCAGCUAAGGUCCCAAAGUCAUGGUUAAGUGGGAAACGAUGUGGGAAGGCCCAGACAGCCAGGAUGUUGGCUUAGAAGCAGCCAUCAUUUAAAGAAAGCGUAAUAGCUCACUGGUCGAGUCGGCCUGCGCGGAAGAUGUAACGGGGCUAAACCAUGCACCGAAGCUGCGGCAGCGACACUCAGGUGUUGUUGGGUAGGGGAGCGUUCUGUAAGCCUGCGAAGGUGGCCUGUGAG